AACGAACGCUGGCGGCAUGCCUAACACAUGCAAGUCGAACGAGACCUUCGGGUCUAGUGGCGCACGGGUGCGUAACGCGUGGGAACCUGCCCUUAGGUUCGGAAUAACUCCCCGAAAGGGGUGCUAAUACCGGAUAAUGUCUUCGGACCAAAGAUUUAUCGCCUUUGGAUGGGCCCGCGUUGGAUUAGCUAGUUGGUAGGGUAAAAGCCUACCAAGGCGACGAUCCAUAGCUGGUCUGAGAGGAUGAUCAGCCACACUGGAACUGAGACACGGCCCAGACUCCGACGGGAGGCAGCAGUGGGGAAUAUUGGACAAUGGGCGAAGGCCUGAUCCAGCAAUGCCGCGUGAGUGAUGAAGGCCUUAGGAUUGUAAAGCUCUUUUACCCGGGAUGAUAAUGACAGUACCGGGAGAAUAAGCUCCGGCUAACUCCGUG
Molecule: ribosomal RNA, 433 nt
Filed under: uncultured bacterium
Lineage: Bacteria
Description: partial 16S ribosomal RNA
Rfam family: Bacterial small subunit ribosomal RNA
Source: RNAcentral